ACACACUCCUUUCCCAGCCCAGGGGCACGCGAACAAAAUGAGGCUCAAGCUGACCAGGCCGAGCCGGAGGAACGCUGGGGCUUGGCAGCAGAAGGGAUGGGACCAGAGAGAAGGGUGUGGAGGAGACCCCAGUGAGGGCCAGGACAUUUCAGGUAAAGAGAGGUCAUAUCUCCGUACCUCACUUCCUGACACAAACAAGUUUUCACUGUUGUCAGCAACAAAGCCCUAAUAUAGCUGCGGAAGAGAAAAACUGCAUUGCAUUUUGCCUCCUGCAAGCAUCAUCAACAGUUACUGGAGGAACGUAAUUCCAGAAAGCUUGAAAGCCGUGGUGAUGGUAAUUAUGUAUCAAAUGCCUGGUUCUAUUUCUGUUAUUAUUGUUUUGUCAUUUCUGUUUUCCCAGCGAUCUGACUGAACUCGCAGAGGGACAAAUCCAGUUUUUCUUUUUGACUUUUGUCAAACUAAAUCAGGCCUGAUAGAAAACUCAUUGCUCUCCGGGGAAACAAAGUAGGAGCCACGAAAUGUCAUUUUAACAGAGCGUGGGUUUGGUGACUGUAGGAAAGGAUUUGAGGACGCUCCUUCUGUUCGGCUUCCUAUGUCAUGAGCACAGGCUCCACGCACGCACAGACACCACGGCUCCCGGAUGCUGUGGCUCCCCGAUCGGGGCUCCUGCAGCGCCAGAAGCCCCUCCGGGAUGCUUCGAGGGGCUCCCGGUGGGUGGAGGUACGGACGCCGCUGCGGCCGCCGCCGCCAGUCCUGCUGCUGUUGUUGCUGCUGCAGUCACGUGGGAGCCCCUUUAAGUUUCCAUAGAGAGGCCUCUCUGGUGUCACAUGAUGGACAUGAUAUAAUGAAACAACAUUGUGGAGAGGAAAGCAUUAGGGGAGCCCACGGCUACAAAAACAAGUGAGUGAGAAGAGGUGGGAGGAAGAGAAACUACGCCACCUCCCCUGCAGCCGAGUGCACGCAGCAGCCUGGCGUGACAAGUGGGCGACGCCGGGGGGCAGGGAGCCGGGGUCCUUGGCCCUGGCCGGGGACCCCACCGCCCACCGCGCGGAGGACAACUUUUAGCCGGCAGCCCAGACCAGCGCGGCACCUGUCUCCGGAGUCUCCACCGCUCCUCCCGAUUCAUCCCAGGGAAAUUCUCAAGAAUACGCUCUACAAAUCUACGUGCGCAUCAUUUUCACCUCGCGUCGCGCCCGGGAGGAAGGAACGAGGCAAGGAGCUAAAGCAGCGUGCGUUCAGCCCUGGGGCAUUUUAUUAAUGCUUUUACGAGUUAGAAGAGUUGGGAUAAUUUGCCAUCUGGAGUUUCUCUGCCUUGCUGAUCUGAGCUCAGACCUGCCAAUUUACCAGAGAUAAUUGAUAACACCCUGUAACAGCUGAGAGGAAAAUGGAAGAAACGGAGAUACUUUUAGUGAAGCAGAAUAAACCACUGAACAGGAAAAAUGAGGAAGCUGUGAGUACCAGUGGAAGGAACGAGCCAGGAAGAGGGACUGGAACCAUCUCAGAAGCCAUGCCCCUCAGGCUGGAACUUGCCCUGUCUCCUCGCAGAUGAGGACAAGUCCUGCGCUUGGGGAUCCUCUGUACGCCCGUUCACUGGUGAGUAUGUAUGACAGCAAUUUCUGAUUUCACUAGUUCUUGCUUCUAACACCUAAAUGGUGCUUUGUCUAGGGAAACGCUUUAAAGAGCAUUUUCCCCCAGUACGUUUAUAAUACAUUUCAUAUUUACCUCCAGAAAAUACUGUGGAUGUGAUAAUAAUUAUAAAAGACAACCCACAGACAACAAUGAAAGUUAAGAAUUAAGAUAUAUUCUGAUAGAUUUUUGCAGCAUAUUGACAUAAAGGCAGUUUUGGUUUUGACAUAUGUACACUAAAAUGAUAUCUGUAAUGCUAUUAAAACUCAAGUGUACAAGGCACCAGUAUAUUCUGGCAAAAAUAAUAUAAUGAUCAACAGUUAAUGAAAGACUUGUGCUUUGAGCUUCUAACAAAAUGUUAAUAUGUAGAGAAUCUUGUGAUUCAUGAUGCUUUGGUUCUCAACCAGGGUUAUCAAAUAAGCUAAAAGUAUCAGAAGAGGACAAAGAAAGUACGUAAAACAUGGAUAAAAGCAGAAACCGAGAAAAGAUAGCUUUGAUAUUUAAAGUGUUAGAUUAUGGCCUCUAUAUAAUGUCAUAUAUGCCAGAUCCCCCCCCAAAAUCACACCCUCAAAUUAUGAUCUUCAUUAUUCAAAAGAUGUUUGGCGUGUUGGUGGUACAGUGGUGAGCGUAGUUGCCUUCCAGAAGAUGGUUGGUGUAUAAUUACUAUAGAAUUUCUUGCUCUCUUGGGAGGUGGCUUAGUAGAAGGUUGAGUCAGGCAAGCUGGGGCUGUUUAUUCAGUGUGCUGUGCUGUGCUGUGCUGUGCUGUGCUGUGCUGUGCUGUGCUGUGCUGUGUCUGAAUGCCUGGGAGUUUGCGUUGUUAACCUUUCCAGGGUGCUAGAUCCCUUUGAGAUUAUGAUGGAAGCCAUGAAUCCUUUUCCCACACCUGUAUGCAAACAUGUGCCUGCCCAUUUACAGACCCAAAGAAGGACAUCCAUGUACCCCACGUUAAGAAGGCUGCCCUGGACUAAGCCCUCACUGUGACUCUGCUGUUCUUAAGCUUCCCAGGAAACACUGUUAUGUAAAAAGACGAGCCAUCCAGGUCAAAAAGAAGUCAUUGUGGUUGCUAGGUGGGGGUGCAAAGCCAAAGACAAAGGGUGGGGAAAAUACAUGACUAAUAAUAAAUAAAGAGCAUGGUUAAUACCAGAGUCUCCAAACUGAUAGCCCAGAAUCCCUCAACAUGUAGCCACGAGUAUUUGUAAAGUACGUUGUGAAUUCAGGUAGAGGGCCGAAGACUCAAUAUUAAGCAGUUGGGCAGAGUUUUCAUACAUAUAUUUGUCUCUGCCUUUUGCACAAUAUAAAACUAUGAAAUCUCUUUUCAUUUUUCUAUUGUGCACGCUACCACAUUAGGUAGGAAUCAAAAUCAUCUCAACUCCAGAAGUAUAAUUCAUAACAAUUAUAACAAAGCAGAAAAAUGAUUCUACAUUAGCAGAAGAAAUGUAGUAGGAAUAGAUUUAAAAUAGCAUGGUUGAGUACAAAAGAAACAUCGUUUUUUAAAAAAUGGCAGCCUUUAUCACUCAUCAGCUAAACUUAAAGUCAAUGCUGUGAGGCUGUUGCGGGAAAAAAAUAGUCAUGAUUCUUGGGUGUAUUAAAAGGAGUAUGACAUAGAAGGGUAAGAAAACAAGACGUAGUGUGUUUGUCAGACUCAUCAUUGUGUCCUGUUUGAGUCACACUUAAAAAAAGAAUUUGGACAAUUGUGAAAAGCUGAUACACAAGCAACAGAAAUUACACGCCCUUCCAGGAAAAGAUAAGGCAACUGAGGAUUUUAUUCCACACAAGGCUGGAGGAUUUUUUGCUAAUGGCCUUUAAGUAGUAACAGUCUGGUUUAUCCUUAUAUUCCUAGGGCCUUCCGCUCUGCCUGGUGCACAGUACUUGAGAUGAUCGUUGUGUUUAGUGAUAAUGAGUAAGGUUCCUGUGAGAGACUUAGCAGGAGUAAGUAGGUUCAAAUAAAACCAGCGAUAGUGUCAUGACAGACGGUAUAUAAUACAUGAAUUUGCUGGGUGAUUAAUACAUAAGGAUGACUGUCUCACUUGUGAGGAUGAUAUAAUACUUCAGCAGCUAACUGGGGGAAGCUACAAAAUCUU
RNAcentral lists this long non-coding RNA (3707 nucleotides) under Homo sapiens (human). RNAcentral's name for it is "non-protein coding LINC-PINT:36". Lineage: Eukaryota; Metazoa; Chordata; Mammalia; Primates; Hominidae. The record is from RNAcentral.